This 403-nucleotide ribosomal RNA is filed under the name uncultured bacterium. RNAcentral describes it as "partial 16S ribosomal RNA". It matches the Rfam family "Bacterial small subunit ribosomal RNA", at positions 28 to 526 of the family's 1533-position model. The record is from RNAcentral.
GACGAACGCUGGCGGCGUGCCUAAUACAUGCAAGUCGAACGCAGUGGGGACGGGUGAGUAACACGUGGGUAACCUCCCAUCAGAGGGGAUAACACUUGGAAACAGGUGCUAACCCGAUACGGAUGGAUGGACCCGCGGUGCUUUAGCUAGUGGGUGGGGUAACGGCUCACCAAGUCCACGAUGCAUAGCCGGCCUGAGAGGGUGACCGGCCACACUGGAACGGAGACACGGCCCAGACUCCUACGGGAGGCAGCAGUAGGGAAUCUUCGGCAAUGGACGAAAGCCUGACCGAGCAACGCCGCGUGAGUGAAGAAGGUUUUCGGAUCGUAAAGCUCUGUUGUUAGAGAAGCGGUAUCUAACCAGAAAGCCACGGCUAACUACGUGCCAGCAGCCGCGGUAAUAC